Molecule: long non-coding RNA, 558 nt
Filed under: Helianthus annuus (common sunflower)
Lineage: Eukaryota; Viridiplantae; Streptophyta; Magnoliopsida; Asterales; Asteraceae
Description: sRNA HanXRQr2_Chr09g0371041
Source: RNAcentral
CUAAAACUAAUAAUAAUAAAAACAAGGUUUAAACACCAAACACACUAAAAGGAGUGUGUCUGGUCGAUCUAAACAUCAGGAGCGAACAGGAGCUUCCCCACCAAACCCUAACUUGUGCAAAUUGAUCAAAUUGGGGCUUCAAAUCAGUUCCAAAUCGAUUUCCAAGCACGAAAUUGUCAUCUCCAUUGAAAGGGGAGUCAUAAGUUUGAUCUCGUCAAACUAAGUGGGAGCUGGAAAGGAAUGGAUCAAACGGGUCAAGUGCGCAAGGAAAGCUCGAACGGACGCAAACUGUACAUUUUGGAUGCCGGAAGACGAUCAAGCUCAACGAAGAACCGAACACGAAUAAGAUAAAAGCUUCCGCACGUCGUUUCGUCGUAACUUUUAAACGACGAACUCAAUUAUGUUAUGUUGUAUUAUUUUAAAAUUGUAAAGUUUAAACAAACCCGUAUUUUUACAAAGUAUAUGUAGUCAUAAUUACAUGUUGUUUGUCGUAUACUUUACGAAAACCAUUAAAUAAUGACAAGGGUGUUACAAGUUGGUAAUCAGAGCUCAUGGUUA